This 5027-nucleotide unclassified non-coding RNA is filed under the name Mizuhopecten yessoensis (Yesso scallop). RNAcentral's name for it is "e3 ubiquitin-protein ligase NEDD4-like, transcript variant X1". The record is from RNAcentral. Lineage: Eukaryota; Metazoa; Mollusca; Bivalvia; Pectinida; Pectinidae.
UGACGCUGGAAAUCUAAAAGGCGCCUACUAUGCUCAGGAUCUCACGAUUGACCGAACAUGGUUUCCCGUUAUUAAAGAGCAACCAGGAAGUAACAUAACUUGGAUAUUUGCCAAUUUUUAUAUUAUGUUGAAAAUGUAUACGACGGCUUGGUCGGAACGUGAUCGGAGAACGAACAGGGUAGUUUUAUCAUGAGAUUUUGGCGUUACAAGUGUUCUUUCUAAAAUGGCGUGUGCACAACGGCCAUCAAGCUACGGGGAAAUAUUAGCUGAGCUCUCAUCGUAUCUGACAAAAUGCCAAGUAACUGUAAGACGAGAAAAUGUAUUCAAAGAUUUAGUUGAAAUUCUCCUAAGGCCUGAGGCCGAAAAGUCCCGGUUUGAGGUUAAAUUUACAAACGAUGGAUGGACAGAGCCAGCUACGGAUGGAGGUGGACCAAGAAAUCAGUUAUUUACCCUAUUUUAUCAAGAAUGUUUGACUCCGGAAAGAUGCAUGUUUAGUGGUCGAGGUCAGGAACUGUUUCCGGUUGACAAUCCAGCUGCAUUGACUGGCCGCUGGUUUUUCUGUCUCGGGAGGGCGAUUGUCCUCUCCCUCGUGCAGCAAGGGGCAGGCUUUCCGUACCUAGCGAGAAGCUGUUACAAGAAAAUAUUAUAUAAAGAAGGUGUUCCCGAACAUGAAAACAUGGCAAAAUUACUUCAAAAACUCACCAAGGCUCAGACUCAGGCUAGGACCGAGGAGGAGCUGCUUCAUUACCUGGGAGACAGUGAGAUCAAGCUCCUGUUGAAAGAGAUGCAGGUCACGGAAUGUGAAACGACAAAAACAGAAACAAUGUACCACUUAAAAAACUUUAUAACACUACAAAGUUGCACGAAGGCCCUCGCACAGCUAACUGAGGGUUUACAAAGUCUGGGAUUUCUGGACAAGGUCAAACAGUAUGGAAGUGAUCUGGAACGAUUUUUUGUUCAUACCGAAGGCUUUUAUGUGGACAGUGUAUUUAUGCAAAACCAAUUACUUGAUCCGCUGAUGGACUUACAAACCACAUCUGAGAAGCAGAAUGAAGUCAAAGAAUGGGCUGCCUUAUGUUUGACAAGCAUGACUGACGAGCAGGCUGUUAACCUGUAUGAGUUUAUCACAGGAAUGCGUUCACUACCUCCAGGAGAGUGUGUCAUCAUGAUAGCAUUUAAUGCUCAAAAAACGUCAGACAAACUUCCACGUGCAGUCACGUGCGCAUCUCUUCUCCUGCUACCUCUCGGCAAUGAAUCGGUCAAAGAGUUCAUCCGUUCAUUCAAAACUGCACUCGAAAACCGGUCGGAGUUCGGCAGGAUUUGAUUGGUUAAUUAUGUCAACACGUUUGAUUCACAACACAUUCCUGUUUUGAUUCAUGAAAUCUUAUCAUUGGUGCUACACGUUUUGUUAUAUCUUUAUGCCAAUAAGUUGAAGAAUAAUAAAAACAGGAAAAGUUGCAGAACCUCCAAUUUAAAUAUGUAUCAUUUGUACCUGUUUCAUGGCAGAUUGCACAUCGAGGGUGUGAACAAAUGUUGGAAAAUAAUAAAACAAAAUGAUGGUUUACAAUUGUAAGACACAGUCCAUUUAUUCAAAAUAAACAAACAUGUCAACUACCGCGUUAGAUGAAGUAAAUGUGCUUCAUGUUCUUUACCUCAUUGCCUACAUUAUUUGAUUGAUUUCAAAAUGUUUCAUUAGAAAGUAAUAGACACUAUGAAAAUGAUACCAUCCUACAUAAACAUAUCCUCGAUAUCCAGAGGUUACGUUCACCUUCGCUGUACCCCUGCAAAAUUGAACUUUCAGUGUGCGCCACCUUGUUCCUUUGAUAUACAUCAAAUGAAAAUUGACAGGCUUUGAAGUCGGAUGUCGCUCCUUUGUAAUCUUCAAAGGACAGGUGUCAACCUAGGUAUUGGUCAGUAUUUUUCCUGAGACCAAUAAAACAGCUAUCUUCGUGCCUUCAAUAUUCUAUGACAUAUUCCAGGGGUGUAGAAAGCGAAAAUGAGCGUAACCCCUGGAUAUCGAGGAUGACCUUAACACGACUUCUAUCAUUCUUAGGGAAAAGUCUAGGGAAAAGACACAAUGUGUCACAAAUAUAAAUAAUACUGAUAUUUCAAUCGUAAUCUGUAAAUUAAGAUGCUAAUUUAUCUUUGUAAUCAAUGUAAUUAAAAAUCAAUAGCAACAUGAAAGGUCUAUUCUGGUAAUCAAUGUAAUUAAUCGAUCAAUACCUACGUGAAAGAUCUAUUCAGGUAAUCAAUGUACUUAAUCGAUCAAUAGCUACGUGAAAGAUCUAUUCUGGUAAUUAAUCGAUCAAUAGCUACGUGAAAGGUAUAUUCUGGUAAUCAAUGUAAUUAAUCGAUCAAUAGCUACGUGAAAGAUCUAUUCUGGUAAUCAAUGUAAUUAAUCGAUCAAAAGCUACGUGAAAGAUCUAUUCAGGUAAAUAAUCGAUCAAUAGCUCCGUGAAAGGUCUAUUCAGGUAAUUAAUCGAUCAAAAGCUACGUGAAAGGUCUAUUCUGGUAAUCAAUGUAAUUUAUCGAUCAAUAGCUACGUGAAAGAUCUAUUCUGGUAAUCAAUGUAAUUAUACAAUCAAUAGCUACGUGAAAGAUCUAUUCUGGUAAUCAAUGUAAUUAAUCGAUCAAUAGCUACGUGAAAGAACUAUUCAUGUAAUCAAUGUAAUUAAUCGAUCAAUAGCUACGUGAAAGGUCUAUUCUGGUAAUCAAUGUAAUUAAUCGAUCAAUAGCUACGUGAAAGAUCUAUUCUAGUUAACACUCAUUUCCAGUUUGAACAUUAUAAAUGCACAGCUUUGCUUUUAUCUUACCUCUUUGAUAUGUUCCUCUUUGCGACUCAAUUAAGCGUUGUUAUCCUAAUCAGUUUAGACUGAAAUGUUCAGUAAAAUCUGUUUUGGUUUACCUCACCUUGAAAUACUUUGUAUGUACACCUUAUUUAUCGUUUUGUGUUAAGUCAACAAAUAGCAUGAAAGACGUGUUUAAUGGUUUGCGUGACAUGAGCAGGUGUUUAUGCAUCGUAUGUUAGACUUUAAAAUACUUUAAUCAGUUGAAGUCAUGAUUAUGAUUAUCUAUGAGUUACCACUGCAAGUACAUCUUACAUGUUUUAAUUGAGAUGUAUAGCAGGAUGUAAAGAAUAUACCAUCAUAACGAAACAUGUAACGAACAAUAAAAUUAAAAUUCAGCAAAGUGCGUCAACAAGGUGUAACGGGACAACUAAGGAUCGUGACCAAGUCACAUCAUGUUUCAUUGAGACAUAUGCAAUACUGUGUGGUCUUCAUUUUGAAUCUUUUGGAAUUUUUGAAUUUUUCCGUGUUUUUAAAAGUAAUGCUACUAGUCAGUCAACUCGUAUGACAAAUUUUGCAAGUCAUACUUUAUUAUUUGUUGAACAUAAACCUUGGUUUAAUGAUCAUCUCAUAAACUUACGUACAACUUACUUGUCAGCUCUGAGAAAUUUUAAUCGUGACAAAAGCUUGAUUAAUCAUAGUAAUUUGAUUAUCAACAAGAUAAGGUACAAGGCUGUUGAAUCUAAAUAUCAAAGACAGUAUUUGAGUGAAGAGGGUGAUACGCUGAAAUUUGUACAAAGACACAGCCCAAAGUCAUUUUAUAAACUUUUUACUAAACGUAAUAACAAAGUGCCGUUAAUUGAAUUAAAUCAGUUAUAUGAACAUUUUAAGGAUUAGGCGAACCCAGUAAACAAUAAUACUGUUUCUGAUCAUUCUGAUCAAUCACAAGAUGACGAUACAAAUAGUACUAGUUCAGAUAACAUUGCCUUUGAAGAGCUUGAAGCUAGCAUAACGGAGGAGGAAAUUCUUACAACAAUUCGUAAGUUAAAAGAAGCUAAUAUCAUGGCCUGGAUGGUAUUUUAAAUGAUUGUCUUUUUUUGAAUGUAAACACAUCUUGGUUCCUCUUCUAGUUAAAAUGUUUAAUUACAUUUUUGAUAUAUUCCAGAAUGUUAGUCAUCGGCCAUUAUUUUUCCAGUACAUAAAAAACGUAUUUCAACUGACCCAAAUGACUUCAGAGGGAUUAGCUUGGUUAGUUGUGUAUGUAAACUAUUUACGUCUAUUUUGAUUAAUCGUUUGUUAAACAUUUGUGAAAAUAAUGACAUCUUGAGUGAUGCACAGUUUGGUUUCCGACCAGUAUUAAGUACAGUUGAUGCUAUUUUCCCCUCAAUGCAAUAAUAACUAAAGCACUAUCAUCUAAGAACAAGUUGCAUUGCUGUUUUGUUGAUUUCAAGAAAGCAUUCGACUAUGUUGAUAGAACAAGUCUCUGGUCUAAACUUAUAAAGACUGGAAUUAGUGGAAAAUUUUGAAGAGUUGUUAAAUCCCUUACAGCUGUAUAAAAUCCUGAGUUACAGUUAAAGGAAAUUAUUCUGACUUUUCCCCAAAUAAUAUCUAUCUAUCUAACUAUAUGUUAUCCACAGAGACCAAAAUGUCUUUAAUGCGGAGGGGAGAAUUACAAGGAGAAAAUGUAUCUCCUUGUGAGUCAUUUUUUAUUAAUAAUAAUACUGAUUACUAUACUUUUGGUGAACUUACUCUAUUCUUACUAUUAUACGCUGAUGAUUUAGUGUUGUUAUCAGAAAGGACUCCAGAAUAUGAUAAAUAUUCAUCAGAUUGGAAAUUGACUGUUAACACUGAUAACACUAAAAUUGUUGUUUUCCGUAAUUGUUACAGAAUUUCAGAAAAUGAAACCUAAAUGUUUGAUGGUACCCCUAUUUAAAUUGUUGAUGAGUUCUGUUAUCUAGUUAUGCAUUUUACAUAUAAUAAUAAUUAAGUUAUUGUCCAAAGUUAUUGAUAUGGUCAAGGCAGAAAAGCUCUUUUUGCUUUAUACUCUAAAUGUAAAGUUUUAAGUCUAAAUGUAAAAACAAUGUUAAAUCUUUUUGACACUUAUGUCAGCAGGAUUUUAUGUUAUGCAUCUCAGAUAUGGCAUUCUCUUUGCACUGUUUGUACUCCAUGACAUAUCAUGUUAUUUGAUUGUUUAGCUGAUGAGCAAAAUUGCUCAAGGCCUAUUAAAGAACUUGGACUUGA